GCGGUGGUGGCGGAAUUGGUAGACGCGCUAGCUUCAGGUGCUAGUGUCCGUUAGGACGUGAGGGUUCAAGUCCCUCCUUCCGCACCA
RNAcentral lists this transfer RNA (87 nucleotides) under Vibrio fluvialis. RNAcentral's name for it is "tRNA-Leu". It matches the Rfam family "tRNA". Rfam says of the family: Transfer RNA (tRNA) molecules are approximately 80 nucleotides in length. Their secondary structure includes four short double-helical elements and three loops (D, anti-codon, and T loops). Further hydrogen bonds mediate the characteristic L-shaped molecular structure. tRNAs have two regions of fundamental functional importance: the anti-codon, which is responsible for specific mRNA codon recognition, and the 3' end, to which the tRNAs corresponding amino acid is attached (by aminoacyl-tRNA synthetases). tRNAs cope with the degeneracy of the genetic code in two manners: having more than one tRNA (with a specific anti-codon) for a particular amino acid; and 'wobble' base-pairing, i.e. permitting non-standard base-pairing at the 3rd anti-codon position. RNAcentral also lists the same sequence under 1 other name. Lineage: Bacteria; Pseudomonadati; Pseudomonadota; Gammaproteobacteria; Vibrionales; Vibrionaceae. The record is from RNAcentral.